UACGGAGGAUUCAAGCGUUAUCCGGAUUUAUUGGGUUUAAAGGGUGCGUAGGCGGUCGGAUAAGUUAGAGGUGAAAUCCCGGGGCUCAACUUCGGAAUUGCCUCUGAUACUGUUCGGCUAGAGAGUAGUUGCGGUAGGCGGAAUGUAUGGUGUAGCGGUGAAAUGCUUAGAGAUCAUACAGAACACCGAUUGCGAAGGCAGCCUACCAAGCUACUUCUGACGUUGAGGCACGAAAGCGUGGGGAGCAAACAGG
Molecule: ribosomal RNA, 253 nt
Filed under: uncultured bacterium
Lineage: Bacteria
Description: partial 16S ribosomal RNA
Rfam family: Bacterial small subunit ribosomal RNA
Source: RNAcentral